RNAcentral lists this ribosomal RNA (506 nucleotides) under uncultured bacterium. RNAcentral's name for it is "partial 16S ribosomal RNA". It matches the Rfam family "Bacterial small subunit ribosomal RNA", at positions 28 to 523 of the family's 1533-position model. The record is from RNAcentral.
GAUGAACGCUAGCUACAGGCUUAACACAUGCAAGUCGAGGGGUAACGAGAGGAAAGCUUGCUUUCCUUGUCGACGACCGGCGCACGGGUGAGUAACGCGUAUCCAACCUGCCCCCAACUAGGGAAUAACCUUGCGAAAGUAAGACUAAUACCCUAUAAUUUCCUCAGAUGCCAUCUGACGAGGAAUAAAGAUUUAUCGGUUGUGGAUGGGGAUGCGUCUGAUUAGCUUGUUGGCGGGGUAACGGCCCACCAAGGCAACGACCAGUAGGGGUUCUUGGAGGAAGGUCCCCCACAUUGGAACUGAGACACGGUCCAAACUCCUACGGGAGGCAGCAGUAAGGAAUAUUGGUCAAUGGGCGGAAGCCUGAACCAGCCAAGUAGCGUGCAGGAUGACGGCCCUAUGGGUUGUAAACUGCUUUUAUACAGGAAUAAAGUUAGCCACGUGUGGUUAUUUGUAGGUACUGUAUGAAUAAGGACCGGCUAAUUCCUUGCCAGCAGCCGCCGUAA